UGUGUUUAAAAGGGGCUUCGGCCUCACUUAGAGAUGGAUCCGCGGUGCAUUAGUUAGUUGGUGAGGUAAAGGCUUACCAAGACGAUGAUGCAUAGCCGAGUUGAGAGACUGAUCGGCCACAUUGGGACUGAGACACGGCCCAAACUCCUACGGGAGGCUGCAGUAGGGAAUCUUCCACAAUGGGCGCAAGCCUGAUGGAGCAACGCCGCGUGUGUGAUGAAGGCUUUCGGGUCGUAAAGCACUGUUGUAUGGGAAGAAUAGUUAAUGUAGGAAAUGAUGUUAAUGUGACGGUACCAUACCAGAAAGGGACGGCUAAAUACGUGCCAGCAGCCGCGGUAAUACGUAUGUCCCGAGCGUUAUCCGGAUUUAUUGGGCGUAAAGCGAGCGCAGACGGUUCGUUAAGUCUGAAGUGAAAGCCCACAGCUCAACUGUGGAAUGGCUUUGGAAACUGGCGAACUUGAGUGCAGUAGAGGCAAGUGGAACUCCAUGUGUAGCGGUGGAAUGCGUAGAUAUAUGGAAGAACACCAGUGGCGAAAGCGGCUUGCUGGACUGUAACUGACGUUGAGGCUCGAAAGUGUGGGUAG
This 584-nucleotide ribosomal RNA is filed under the name Leuconostoc fallax. Its description in RNAcentral is "bacterial SSU rRNA". It matches the Rfam family "Bacterial small subunit ribosomal RNA", at positions 195 to 768 of the family's 1533-position model. The record is from RNAcentral. Lineage: Bacteria; Bacillati; Bacillota; Bacilli; Lactobacillales; Lactobacillaceae.